Molecule: non-coding RNA, 2733 nt
Organism: Equus caballus (horse)
Lineage: Eukaryota; Metazoa; Chordata; Mammalia; Perissodactyla; Equidae
Source: RefSeq, a predicted model, not a curated record
UUCCUGUGUGUCCUUGGGCAAGUUAUUUAGCCUUGCUGUGCCUCAGUUUUCUCAUCUGUAAAAUGGGAAUAAUCAUAGUGUUGAUAAGAAUUUAAUGAGCAAAACAAGUACAGUGUACAGCACAGUGCCCAGGACAGGGUAAAACAUUAGGUGUUAUUUCUCUCCACCUUGUUGACCAACCUGGGACCUUCAUACCUCUCCACAAACCUGAGGCUGAAGAGGCCAAGUCUGCCUCCCCCUCUCCCUGUAGGCAAGGAAGUCUAGGGGGAGAAGGGAUGGUCUCCCCACAGCUGCCUAAAGCCCAUCCCACAGUUCCAGGCUGGGGGCAGAAUGUCUGCAGCCUCCACAAUGAGAUGGAGCCUGGAUUCAAGUUCUGCCUCAGCCCCUAAAUAGCUGUGUGCUCUUGAACAAAUAACAGCUUCUCUGAGCCUCAGCUACCUCACCUGCAAAAUGGGGUUAAUAUUAGUACCCACUGCAUAAGGGUUAUGAGGGUGAUGUCUCUGAAAUGCCUGGCACAAAGAAGCCACUCAGUAAAUGGUUGCUGUCACUGCUGCCUGGCACACAGAGCAGGUGCUCCACAAACGUCAGUUUCCUUUAUCAUGUGCACCUUCCUCUUCCUAAGAGUCACAAUGUUCCAGGUCAAGCCAUGGGGCCUUAGGGUUUCUGGAUCGCAGAAUGCGGACACCUCCGCUCUAGGAAGAGCCCCUCCUCCUUGCUCCUGAGCCCCUACCCCACCAGGAGGCACUGCAGAGAUGCUGUUUCUCUUCACGCAGUGUGUGUAAUCAAGACUCAAGUGACAGAUGGACAGAUAUGCAAGGAAAGGAAAGCCCUCAAGACGCAAGGGUAUGGCUGCUCCUGGACUCCUCAGCCAAGCUUGAGUAGAAUGAGGGGGCAGACUGGAGGCAGAGCACAGUCAGCCCCACCGCUGUCAAUCAUCCUGGGCUUUCCUGGCACCCUCACUCCCUCACCUCUACCCCUGAGGACCUUUCCUUGCUGGAUGAAGGGGUGCGGAACUGCUUUGGCCUUCCAGCUCUGGCAGAGCAGAAGCCCCCAACUCCAGGAAGUCAAAGGUCUGUGGUGUGCAGAGCUUUGAUGGGCCCCCUAAAGGCUGGCUGCUGCCUGGUCCAAGCGUCAAGGCAGAGGCUGGCUUCUUGUGCCAAAGCUUCAUUAGCCCUGCUGGGGACAGAGUCUCCUCAUUUCCCAGAGAAAAAGACUGAGACCACCCCCCGCCACCAAGAUCUAACCUGGAGCAGGUGAGGGGCCUUCCUACUCCACCCCAACAGAAAUCAGGAGCCCCACUUGCUCCAGAAGACUCAGCCCAGGACAAAGUCCACAGACACACCUUAUACACAGCCCAGGACCCCUCCCUCCUGCAAACACACACACACACACACACACACACACACUAAAGAUCAAGGUAAAAUCCAAACGGGAUCGUCAACGGCAACAUGGGCACCAAGAUUCUGUCCCUCAAGGGCCUGAUGGUGGCAUGAUGGAGUCCCCUGUCCCAGAACCCCACAUCCCUAAGGAUGCCCUAAGACACAGGCCCCAGGUACUGCCCUCUCCCAACCUAACAUCUCCUGCUCUGUCCCUAAGGGUCCUCGGCCACACUGGACUGCAGGGAACCCCUGGGAGGUAUGACCCUCACCAAGAAGGAAGCCGAGUGGCAGACGCCAGUGAGAUGAAAGACUCAAGGGUCAGCGGAUCAAGAUGAGAGUUGUGAAGUGACCACUGCCUCUGGCACAUGUCGAGAAGACAAAGGCUGGACCCUCUGAGGUCCCCUCAGACCCACGGGUCUAUCCAAGGAGGCUCUGAGCUUUGUUCGAGAGUUCGGGCAGGGCUGUCCUGUGCUCUCUAACAGGGGUGCGGGCGAGGGGGCAGUGCAGGCAGUGGGCCCAGAAAGCAGUGUCCCUGGAAGAACCCCAAGGGAAAGGGGGCAGGUGUAACCUCCUUAAUUUCCCUGCCCUUCCUGCUUUCUUGGCCAGGACCAAGUGUCCUUCUCUCUGAGAGGCCUACACAGGAAGUGGGGGCUCUAUCCCACCCAUGCCUGUAAGGGAGUGUGCUGAUACCUGGCCCCUACCCACACAAGAGUUCCCCACCCCUCAGCCUGGCACUCAGGGCCUCUCUGCUCCAUCUUACCUCCCUCUCCCUUUCACACAGCCACGCUGUGGCCAGGCUGAGCUUCCCAAGGCCGCCGGUCCAUCUCUCACACUCUGCAGCUUCUGCACCUUUGCUCCUGCUGCGCCCCCAGCCUGGAAUGCCGGAAUCCCACCUCCUGUCCCCUCACAGGUGUGUGUCUGAGCCUCGCCAGCCCUGCAGGUCCCAGAGGAAACCUCUCCUCCUCCCUGGGCUUCCCCGACAGACUUUUCCACUUAGAAGACAUGGUCUCCCCUCCUUACAACUCCCAGGGCUCCUGACCAGAGCCCUCCUCGGCUCUGCCUGCAUGGACCUGCACCUCCCACUAGGCUCAGCUUCUGGGGGCAGGGGCUUCAGCUCCCACAAGUGCUAACCUGUGUCUCUACCCACAGCAAAUGCUCAACAAACACUGGUCACCGUGCACGUUCAAAAGAGAGGCUGAGUGCUUGGGCCUGGAGUCAGCCAGCCCUGGGCACCAACCUGCCUCCGUUAUUCACUAACUUGUUAGCUGCCAGCUUUAGGCAAGUUUUCCCCCUCUGAGCCUUACUCAGAGCUCAUGGUGGUAUUGUAAGGAUUAAACGAGAAAAUGGAUGUAAA